RNAcentral lists this ribosomal RNA (440 nucleotides) under uncultured bacterium. RNAcentral describes it as "bacterial SSU rRNA". It matches the Rfam family "Bacterial small subunit ribosomal RNA", at positions 338 to 776 of the family's 1533-position model. The record is from RNAcentral.
CCUACGGGUGGCUGCAGUCGAGAAUCUUCGGCAAUGAGCGCAAGCUUGACCGAGCGACGCCGCGUGCGGGAUGAAGGCCUUCGGGUUGUAAACCGCGAAAGUAGGGAGGAAAUUGCUAGGGGUUCUCCCCUAGUAUUGACCUAUCUUCAGUAAGGACGGGCUAAGUUCGUGCCAGCAGCCGCGGUAAUACGAACCGUCCAAACGUUAUUCGGAUUUAUUGGGCUUAAAGGGUAUGUAGGCGGCGCUGUCAGUCGGGUGUGAAAGCCCUCGGCUCAACCGAGGAACUGCGCCCGAUACUGCAGUGCUUGAGGGAGACAGAGGUAAGCGGAACUGAUGGUGGAGCGGUGAAAUGCGUUGAUAUCAUCAGGAACACCAGUGGCGAAAGCGGCUUACUGGGUCUCUUCUGACGCUGAGAUACGAAAGCUAGGGGAGCGAACGGG